UUGUACUUAAAAACUUAGUAACUAAUGUUGAAACACACACACAUUUACAUACGAGGACGUUGACAGCCAUGCUCAUUCAGGCAGAGAUACCGGAAGCGAAUGCGGGGCUGUCAUGAGGGCUGCUGCUUGGGCAGGUGCGGUGUGCAUCCAUGGAUGUGUGCAUAUUGUGAAGCGAAGACCCACGGUUAUUCGUAAUGAUGUGGACAUAAAGUGCUCAAGCAGGGGCGCAAGCUUGAGCACAACAUAAACGUUAUUAAGCAGAAAAUUGACUGUCGUUGGUGGCUUGAGUGUUUGUUGUGGUCCGCAGGGAGCCGUCCAGAAAAGGAGUGCACCACCACAAUAAGCUUGUUCCUCUGAGAGCUGUGUCGAACUGUCAGCUGGACCUCGCCCAGGGGAAACUGGCCCGGCGCCGAGCCACUGGAACCACAACAGAGUCACAUUGACGGAGCCUUUGCUGAAGCUCCAGACUGGCAUAUGGCAGGGAGAUAUCCGAGGCCAAACUGGGCGUGGACUCCUUGUGAGGCAAGUGUUUCUGGGAACUGGAAAUGCACAUGCUGAGGUUGGAGGUACUGCGGAGAGGGCUGGCGGAGUACGGCUCGCCGUCCCUGUGCUGGAGGGUGAAGGUGGAAGCGUCUAUGGGGGGCGGGGGCGUGGGCGGAGGCAGUGGGGAAUCUGAGGACUGUCUCUGGGUGGAGGCUGCAGUUGGCUGCGGCAAGCUGGAUUUCCUGACCUGCACGGAGGAAGGCUGGUCCGAGGACACCUGCUUCUCAAGGGACAGGAUCUGAAGGACAUGAGGAAGGACAUCAAUUAUAAAAAUACAAUUAAUAAAAAUGUAAAGAAC
Solea senegalensis (Senegalese sole) is the source of this 841-nucleotide long non-coding RNA. RefSeq lists it as uncharacterized. NCBI's taxonomy places the organism in Eukaryota, Metazoa, Chordata, Actinopteri, Pleuronectiformes, Soleidae. The transcript is spliced from 3 exons. The record is from RefSeq and is a predicted model, not a curated record.